RNAcentral lists this ribosomal RNA (440 nucleotides) under uncultured bacterium. RNAcentral's name for it is "partial 16S ribosomal RNA". It matches the Rfam family "Bacterial small subunit ribosomal RNA", at positions 338 to 795 of the family's 1533-position model. The record is from RNAcentral.
CCUACGGGGGGCAGCAGUAGGGAAUAUUGCUCAAUGGGGGAAACCCUGAAGCAGCAACGCCGCGUGGAGGAUGAAGGUUUUCGGAUUGUAAACUCCUUUUGUUAGAGAAGAUAAUGACGGUAUCUAACGAAUAAGCACCGUCUAACUACGUGCCAGCAGCCGCGGUAAUACGGAGGGUGCCAGCGUUAUUCGGAAUCACUGGGCGUAAAGGGCGCGUAGGCGGGAUAGCAAGUCAGCUGUGAAAUCCUAUGGCUUAACCAUAGAACUGCAGUUGAAACUGUUAUUCUAGAGUAUGGGAGAGGUAGGUGGAAUUCUUGGUGUAGGGGUAAAAUCCGUAGAGAUCAAGAGGAAUACUCAUUGCGAAGGCGACCUGCUAGAACAUAACUGACGCUGAUGCGCGAAAGCGUGGGGAGCAAACAGGAUUAGAUACCCUUGUAGUC